RNAcentral lists this long non-coding RNA (613 nucleotides) under Strigops habroptila (Kakapo). RNAcentral's name for it is "lncRNA (ENSSHBG00005018363.1)". The record is from RNAcentral. Lineage: Eukaryota; Metazoa; Chordata; Aves; Psittaciformes; Psittacidae.
CAUAAUUCUACAUGAACCAAAAUCUCUUUUCUGUGUUCUGUAAAAAUCUCAGAGAAAUUUUCUUCUUCAUGUCUUAUUCACAGGAAGGGUGAAGUCUAUACCAAAACAACCCAAAGCUGCCUUGGAAGGAUACUGUAACAUGGGAAGAUGUGCAAAAAUACUUUAUGGAGGAUACGACUGAAUCUUUAUAGUUGUCUGUGUCUGGUUGUAAGGAUUCAGAGGAGAGGAAACAGAAAUGUUGGAAAAUUCCAAGGCUUUUUAUGUUGUGACUUUGAUGCAUUGUCAAAAAGUGAGAGAAAGAGGCUAGUGAAGACUCCUGCCUCCAGUAUGAGGAAAGGUUUCCUCAUCAAACUCCUGACACUUAAUUACAGUGAUUUUUCUGCCCGAGGAACCAAAGAACCCACAAAGUGGUCAACUAUGGUCAGAAACUGUGAGUUGUGACUGGGAGCCCUUCUCCUCUCCUGGCCUCAAAGUAAAAGGGCCUGAUUAAUGGCAGGGGCUGAAAAAAAGACCCUGACAUUUAGUUGAAAAGGGACUCUCUAAGCAUGAUGAAAUGGGAAAUUACUGUUCUUUCUAGGGGCUGGUUUCAAGGCCCAGUGCUGGGGACGUAGGU